AUACCUUUCUUGGCCUUUUGGCUAAGAUCAAGUGGAGUAUCUGUUCUUAUCAGUUUAAUAUCUGAUAUGUGGGCCAUCAGUUCACAUGAUGUAGCUCAAUUUUUUGAGGAGGAGAGUCCUCUACGGUAGCUUGCUAUCGGGUCACUCAAGUGUUGUAUUGGUGCUGCAAAAACAAGAGUGACUUUUAGUAU
Non-coding RNA from Nicotiana sylvestris (wood tobacco), 191 nucleotides. NCBI's taxonomy places the organism in Eukaryota, Viridiplantae, Streptophyta, Magnoliopsida, Solanales, Solanaceae. The record is from Rfam.